AGUAACGCGUGGGUAACCUGCCUCAUACAGGGGGAUAGCAGUUAGAAAUGACUGCUAAUACCGCAUAAGCGCACAGGGAUGCAUGUCCUGGUGUGAAAAACUCCGGUGGUAUGAGAUGGACCCGCGUCUGAUUAGCUGGUUGGCGGGGUAACGGCCCACCAAGGCGACGAUCAGUAGCCGACCUGAGAGGGUGACCGGCCACAUUGGGACUGAGACACGGCCCAAACUCCUACGGAAGGCAGCAG
This 245-nucleotide ribosomal RNA is filed under the name uncultured bacterium. Its description in RNAcentral is "partial 16S ribosomal RNA". It matches the Rfam family "Bacterial small subunit ribosomal RNA", at positions 109 to 354 of the family's 1533-position model. The record is from RNAcentral.